CAGUCGCCGCGGGAAUACGUAGGUGGCAAGCGUUGUCCGGAAUUAUUGGGCGUAAAGCGUGCGCAGGCGGCUUUGCAAGACAGGUGUGAAAUCCCCGGGCUCAACCUGGGAACUGCAUUUGUGACUGCAAGGCUGGAGUGCGGCAGAGGGAGAUGGAAUUCCGCGUGUAGCAGUGAAAUGCGUAGAUAUGCGGAGGAACACCGAUGGCGAAGGCAAUCUCCUGGGCCUGCACUGACGCUCAUGCACGAAAGCGUGGGGAGCAAACAGGAUUAGAUACCCCUGUAGUCCCUGUCUCUUAUAU
This 301-nucleotide ribosomal RNA is filed under the name uncultured bacterium. RNAcentral's name for it is "partial 16S ribosomal RNA". It matches the Rfam family "Bacterial small subunit ribosomal RNA", at positions 509 to 809 of the family's 1533-position model. The record is from RNAcentral.